GAUGAACGCUGGCGGCGUGCCUAAUGCAUGCAAGUCGAACGAAACUUCUUUAUCACCGAGUGCUUGCACUCACCGAUAAAGAGUUGAGUGGCGAACGGGUGAGUAACACGUGGGCAACCUGCCCAAAAGAGGGGGAUAACACUUGGAAACAGGUGCUAACACCGCAUAACCAUAGUUACCGCAUGGUAACUAUGUAAAAGGUGGCUAUACUACCGCUUUUGGAUGGGCCCGCGGCGCAUUAGCUAGUUGGUAGGGUAAAGGCUUACCAAGGCAAUGAUGCGUAGCCGAAUUGAGAGGUUGAUCGGCCACAUUGGGACUGAGACACGGCCCAAACUCCUACGGGAGGCAGCAGUAGGGAAUCUUCCACAAUGGGCGAAAGCCUGAUGGAGCAACGCCGCGUGGGUGAAGAAGGUCUUCGGAUCGUAAAACCCUGUUGUUAGAGAAGAAAGUGCGUGAGAGUAACUGUUCACGUUUCGACGGUAUCUAACCAGAAAGCCACUGCUAACUACGUG
Molecule: ribosomal RNA, 512 nt
Filed under: uncultured bacterium
Lineage: Bacteria
Description: partial 16S ribosomal RNA
Rfam family: Bacterial small subunit ribosomal RNA
Source: RNAcentral